AGGCUAAAUAACAUAAUCGGUAAUGUGCGAGAUUGCAAAUCUUAAAAUACUGGUUCAAGUCCGGUUUUAGCCUU
RNAcentral lists this transfer RNA (74 nucleotides) under Nitzschia sp. (in: diatoms). RNAcentral's name for it is "Nitzschia sp. (in: Bacillariophyta) tRNA-Cys". It matches the Rfam family "tRNA". Rfam says of the family: Transfer RNA (tRNA) molecules are approximately 80 nucleotides in length. Their secondary structure includes four short double-helical elements and three loops (D, anti-codon, and T loops). The record is from RNAcentral. Lineage: Eukaryota; Bacillariophyta; Bacillariophyceae; Bacillariales; Bacillariaceae.